AGUGAACGCUGGCGGUAGGCCUAACACAUGCGAGUCGAACGGCAGCACAGUAAGAGCUUGCUCUUACGGGUGGCGAGUGGCGGACGGGUGAGGAAUACAUCGGAAUCUACUUUUUCGUGGGGGAUAACGUAGGGAAACUUACGCUAAUACCGCAUACGACCUACGGGUGAAAGCAGGGGAUCUUCGGACCUUGCGCGAUUGAAUGAGCCGAUGUCGGAUUAGCUAGUUGGCGGGGUAAAGGCCCACCAAGGCGACGAUCCGUAGCUGGUCUGAGAGGAUGAUCAGCCACACUGGAACUGAGACACGGUCCAGACUCCUACGGGAGGCAGCAGUGGGGAAUAUUGGACAAUGGGCGCAAGCCUGAUCCAGCUAUACCGCGUGGGUGAAGAAGGCCUUCGGGUUGUAAAGCCCUUUUGUUGGGAAAGAAAAGCAGCGGGUUAAUACCCCGCUGUUCUGACGGUACCCAAAGAAUAAGCACCGGCUAACUUCGUG
Molecule: ribosomal RNA, 492 nt
Filed under: uncultured bacterium
Lineage: Bacteria
Description: partial 16S ribosomal RNA
Rfam family: Bacterial small subunit ribosomal RNA
Source: RNAcentral